UUUUGAAGGUUAUGGGGCCAUUCCAACUACUAGAAGGUCUGAUGGAAGAAGCCAUUCAAGAAGCAAUUGCCUCAAAUCGGCGCUCGGAUGACAUUGCUUUUUAUUUUAAUUUUAAUUUUGAUUUCAAUUUCGACUUUGAUUUUUAUUUUUAGUCUUGAUUUUAGUUUUGAUUUUUGAUUUUGGUUUUAAUUUUGAAUUUGUGUUGAAUAGGGUGAUAAUUUGUGAUAAUUUAAUAUAUUGUAUUUUUUUUAUUUUUAAUUUAAAUUGAAUGGAAAAAUUUAUCCUUUUAACUGAUUGAAUUAUGAUUUUAGUUUUAAUUUUAAUAUUGAUUUUUGUUUCUUUAUUGAUUUUAAUUCCAGAUUUAAUCAAAUUUUAGUAGUGAUUUUGUUUUUAAUUUUAACUAUUGUAAUUUUGAAUUUUAGUAUUUAUUUUAAUUUUAAAUUUUAAUUACUGUAAUAUUAAAUUUUAGUUUUGGAUUUGGUGAUGACUUUAAUUUUGGGUUUGAUUGAAUUUUAGUAUAUUCAUUUUGAUUUUGGUGUGAUUUUGAUUUGGUAUAAUUUGUUUUGUCACAAUUGUUUAAACUAACAUAGUUUCGGAAAAACAAGUAACUAACAAAAAUAUGGACAUAUGUCUGAAUUAAAUUAUUAUUAUUAUAUUUACAUGUCUUCGAUCAAGAGAAUAACGACAAUGGUGCUGAAGGCUGGUGUCGGAGCAUAGAAAAACUUGGUGUUGAAUUCAAGUGGACCAGCAUCCACUAAGCUGCCACAGCAGGCGCCGAGGAACUAGUCGAGGUUUAACGAAGUUCUCUCACGGACUACGGUAUUGGAAAUUUAAGAAACAUUAUAGUUGCAAAAGAAAAAAAU
This 863-nucleotide unclassified non-coding RNA is filed under the name Melitaea cinxia (Glanville fritillary). RNAcentral describes it as "misc RNA ENSMCXG00005006625.1". Lineage: Eukaryota; Metazoa; Arthropoda; Insecta; Lepidoptera; Nymphalidae. The record is from RNAcentral.